Molecule: unclassified non-coding RNA, 346 nt
Filed under: soil metagenome
Description: partial contains 5.8S ribosomal RNA, internal transcribed spacer 2, and large subunit ribosomal RNA
Rfam family: 5.8S ribosomal RNA (bases 1-119)
Source: RNAcentral
GAUGAAGAACGUAGCGAAAUGCGAUACGUAAUGUGAAUUGCAAAUUCAGUGAAUCAUCGAGUCUUUGAACGCAAAUUGCGCCCCCUGGUAUUCCGGGGGGCAUGCCUGUCCGAGCGUCAUUGCUGCCCUCAAGCACGGCUUGUGUGUUGGGCCCCGUCCUCCGAUCCCGGGGGACGGGCCCGAAAGGCAGCGGCGGCACCGCGUCCGGUCCUCGAGCGUAUGGGGCUUUGUCACCCGCUCUGUAGGCCCGGCCGGCGCUUGCCGAUCAACCCAAAUUUUUUAUCCAGGUUGACCUCGGAUCAGGUAGGGAUACCCGCUGAACUUAAGCAUAUCAAUAAGCGGAGGA